AUAAGAAGUCUGACCUGCCCAGUGAAAUUUUUAACGGCCGCGGUACUCUGACCGUGCAAAGGUAGCAUAAUCACUUGCCUUAUAAUUGAAGGCUUGUAUGAACGGUUUGACAAGAAUAAAGCUGUCUCUUUUUAAAUACAUAAAAUUUGAUUUUUAGGUGAAGAAGCCUAAAUUAAAUUGAAAGACAAGAAGACCCUAUCGAGCUUGAAAACUUUUUAUUAUAUAAUGAUUAAAUCAAAUUUUAAUAAAAAUUUUUAGUUGGGGCGACUGAGGAACAAAAAAGCUUCCUUUAGAUUUAUUUACCAAUAAGUUUUGAUCCAAAAUAUUUGAUUAAAAAAAUUAGUUACCGUAGGGAUAACAGCAUAAUUUUUCUUGAGAGCUCAUAUCGAAAGAAAAGUUUGUGACCUCGAUGUUGGACUAGGAUAUCCUGAUAGAUGUAGAAGUCUUCAAUGGUUGGUCUGUUCGACCA
RNAcentral lists this ribosomal RNA (469 nucleotides) under Semisalsa dalmatica. Its description in RNAcentral is "partial 16S large subunit ribosomal RNA". It matches the Rfam family "Bacterial large subunit ribosomal RNA", at positions 1845 to 2587 of the family's 2925-position model. Lineage: Eukaryota; Metazoa; Mollusca; Gastropoda; Littorinimorpha; Cochliopidae. The record is from RNAcentral.